Molecule: ribosomal RNA, 253 nt
Filed under: uncultured bacterium
Lineage: Bacteria
Description: partial 16S ribosomal RNA
Rfam family: Bacterial small subunit ribosomal RNA
Source: RNAcentral
UACGUAGGGGGCAAGCGUUGUCCGGAUUUAUUGGGCGUAAAGAGCGUGUAGGCGGUUUGGUAGGUCCGCUGUGAAACUCGAGGCUCAACCUCGAGACGCCGGUGGAAACCAUCAGACUAGAGUCCGGAAGAGGAGAGUGGAAUUCCUGGUGUAGCGGUGAAAUGCGCAGAUAUCAGGAAGAACACCCGUGGCUAAGGCGGCGUCUCUAGUACGGUACUGACGCUGAGACGCGAAAGCGUGGGGAGCGAACAGG